GGAGGAAUACCCAAGCGGCUGAAGGGGCGGGCUUGGAAAGCUCGUAGACAUGUAACAGUGUGCGAGGGUUCAAAUCCCUCUUCCUCCGCCA
This 91-nucleotide transfer RNA is filed under the name Bacilli bacterium. RNAcentral describes it as "tRNA-Ser". It matches the Rfam family "tRNA". From Rfam's summary of the family: Transfer RNA (tRNA) molecules are approximately 80 nucleotides in length. Their secondary structure includes four short double-helical elements and three loops (D, anti-codon, and T loops). RNAcentral also lists the same sequence under 2 other names. Lineage: Bacteria; Bacillati; Bacillota; Bacilli. The record is from RNAcentral.